This 425-nucleotide ribosomal RNA is filed under the name uncultured bacterium. Its description in RNAcentral is "partial 16S ribosomal RNA". It matches the Rfam family "Bacterial small subunit ribosomal RNA", at positions 354 to 796 of the family's 1533-position model. The record is from RNAcentral.
GUGGGGAAUAUUGGGCAAUGGGCGAAAGCCUGACCCAGCAACGCCGCGUGAAGGAAGAAGGUUUUCGGAUCGUAAACUUCUAUCCUUGGUGAAGAUAAUGACGGUAGCCAAGAAGGAAGCCCCGGCUAACUACGUGCCAGCAGCCGCGGUAAUACGUAGGGGGCAAGCGUUGUCCGGAAUGAUUGGGCGUAAAGGGCGCGUAGGCGGCCUGGUAAGUCUGGAGUGAAAGUCCUGCUUUUAAGGUGGGAAUUGCUUUGGAUACUGUCGGGCUUGAGUGCAGGAGAGGUAAGUGGAAUUCCCGGUGUAGCGGUGAAAUGCGUAGAGAUCGGGAGGAACACCAGUGGCGAAGGCGACUUACUGGACUGUAACUGACGCUGAGGCGCGAAAGUGUGGGGAGCAAACAGGAUUAGAAACCCCGGUAGUCC